UUGGAGGGCAAGUCUGGUGCCAGCAGCCGCGGUAAUUCCAGCUCCAAUAGCGUAUAUUAAAGUUGUUGCAGUUAAAAAGCUCGUAGUUGAAUUUCGGGGUCAGUAGGUCGGUCGUGCCACUGGUAUGAACUGGUUUUACUGAUUCCUCCCUCUUGAAGAACUGUAAUGCCAUUAAUUUGGUGUUGCAGGGAAUCAGGACUGUUACUUUGAAAAAAUUAGAGUGUUUAAAGCAGGCUUUAGCUUGAAUACAUUAGCAUGGAAUAAUGAAAUAGGACGUUUGAUCCUAUUUUGUUGGUUUCUAGGAUUGACGUAAUGAUUAAUAGGGAUAGUUGGGGGCAUUAGUAUUCAAUUGUCAGAGGUGAAAUUCUUGGAUUUAUUGAAGACUAACUACUGCGAAAGCAUUUGCCGAGGAUGUUUUCAUUAAUCAAGAACGAAAGUUAGGGGAUCGAAGACGAUCAGAUGCCGUCGUAGUCUUAACCAUAAACUAUGCCGACUAGGGAUCGGAUGAUGUUAAUUUUUUAAUGACUCAUUCGGCGCCUUACGGGAAAC
This 549-nucleotide ribosomal RNA is filed under the name uncultured Glomeromycotina. RNAcentral's name for it is "SSU rRNA". It matches the Rfam family "Eukaryotic small subunit ribosomal RNA", at positions 548 to 1098 of the family's 1831-position model. The record is from RNAcentral. Lineage: Eukaryota; Fungi; Glomeromycota.